GCAGACUUUUUGAGCGUGCCAUUAGGUGUAGCCUUUUGAUACUAACAGAUAAGUAGAUUCAGCACUGUGCUACUACACUGCUUUUGACUACUGGGGAAAGGGUACAAUGGUAACUGUUUCAUCAGCCACUCCAAAUGCACCAACUGUGUUUCCUCUGAUGCAAUGUGGUUCUGGGACUGGAAACACGGUCACUCUUGGUUGCCUUGCCACCGGCUUCACACCCUCCUCACUGACCUACUCAUGGAGCAUAGUAAAUGGGGCUGCCUUGACAGACUUCAUUCAGUACCCUCCAGUACUGAAAGACAACCUUUAUACUGGAAUAAGUCAAGUCCAAGUGAGCAAACAGGACUGGGACGCCCUGAAAUCCUUCAGAUGUGAUGUCACACAUACAGCGGGAAAUCAACAUGUUAUUAUCGGGCCAGGGAAGCUCAAUGGUAAAAAUAUGUAUCAGUUGCCAACUCUUAAGGUAUUGACCUCCUCCUCUGGUGAGGGCACCGAGACUACCCUCUCCUGCUUUGCCAAAGAUUUUUCACCAAAAGAUUUUGAGUUCAAAUGGCUGAAAAAUGAAGCACAAAUCACCACUGGAAUAACCAACAUCAAAACACCUUUUGAUGAAAAAAAGACAGAGAAUGGAACACUGUACAGUGCAGCAAGUUUUCUGACAGUGCCAUCACGUGAGUGGACUGACACCAAUACGUUUACAUGUCAGUUUAUGGGGAAAGGUGAACAAGGUCCAACGUAUGUGAAUUCAUCUGUGACCUACAAAAUUCCUAAACUUGUUGAUGGACCUGAAUGCGUGGAAGCAGAUGUGGAAGUAACCAUCAUAGAACCAACAAUGGAGGACUUUGUUUUAAACUUAAAGGGAGAUGUAAAAUGUCAAGUCAAGAUAAACAAACCAUCUGUCCAAAAGAUUUUCUGGGAGACCCAUGAUGGAAAAGACAUACCUGAUGCUGUUCCAGUGAAGCCCCCUGCAGGACAUAAAGAUACAUACGUCGCUUUACUUCCCAUCACAUUUGACGAAUGGAGACAGGGGGCAAAGUUCACCUGCAUUGUUGAACAUGAAGACUGGGUAGAGCCACGUAAGGAAAUCUACAAAAAGGAAUUUGGAGGACCGCCUCAGCGUCCUUCAGUUUUUAUGCUACCUCCAGUAGAACAUAUUAAAACAGAAACCGUGACCCUGACUUGCUUUGUGAAAGACUUCUUCCCUCGGGAAGUUUAUGUCUCCUGGCUUGUCGAUGACGAGGAAGCAGACUCAAAAUACAAGUUCCAUACCACAACGCCUGUAGAAAAUGAUGGAUCAUAUUCUGCCUAUGGCCAGUUAACCCUCACCCUCCAGCAGUGGAAAAAUGAUGACACUGUGUUCAGCUGUGCAGUUCACCAUGAAUCUGUGGUCAACACAACUAGAGCUAUUGUCAGGUCCAUCGGGCACAGAACAUUUGAAAAAACCAACAUGGUCAACCUCAACAUGAACAUCCCUGAAACGUGCAAGGCCCAGUAGAUGUUAUUCUGUGUCGCUGUGUCUUCUGCUGUUUGUUGUUUAAUGUUUGUUGCUUGUGAUAUGACACUGUGUUUGUCUUUUUAAUGCAGAUUCAAAAUCAAAAUAAAAAAAGGACUUUGCAA
This is a non-coding RNA of Epinephelus fuscoguttatus (brown-marbled grouper), 1620 nucleotides long. Lineage: Eukaryota; Metazoa; Chordata; Actinopteri; Perciformes; Serranidae. The record is from the annotation of a RefSeq genome assembly.